UUCAAUGCUUCAAUAAUGGUUCUGGGGAUCCCUAUAACAUUUGUUAUGAUUGUUAUAGCAGAAACAACAUUGAUCAUCAUAAGGAUGCUUACUUUGUCGAUAAUAUAAAACUCCAUUGCUUCGCAGUUAAAGGCUCUGCAGUUAAUGAAGGCUCCGCAGUUAAUGAAGGCUCCGCAGUUAAUGAAGGCUCCGCAGUUAAUGAAGGCUCCGCAGUUAAUGAAGGCUCCGCAGUUAAUGAAGGCUCCGCAGUUAAUGAAGGCUCCGCAGUUAAUGAAGGCUCCGCAGUUAAUGAAGGCUCCGCAGUUAAUGAAGGCUCCGCAGUUAAUAAAGGCUCUGCAGAUAAUAAUGGCUUCACAACUCGAAGCUCCGGUGGUAAGGUAUGUAUAUAUUAUAUAAUAUAAUUCUGAUACUCU
This 413-nucleotide long non-coding RNA is filed under the name Jatropha curcas. RNAcentral's name for it is "long non-coding RNA (JCUR_LNC001900)". The record is from RNAcentral. Lineage: Eukaryota; Viridiplantae; Streptophyta; Magnoliopsida; Malpighiales; Euphorbiaceae.